UCACGUUUGAUCAAUUUGUUUGAAGAUUAGAUGAUGAGUACAGAGGAUGUAGGGCAAAUCUGUGGUUUCAGACUAAAUCUAGAGAAAGAAAGUCAAAGCCAUAAUUUAAUUUCCAGCUAAAAACAUAUUUUUAGCUCAUGUUAUAGGAUCUGGGGCACUCUUAUUCUUACCACGAGUCCAGCUCACGAAUUAAGUUCUCAGACUGACUCCCACCCUACACCUAAACAACUGAGGUCCCACACAUGCCGGUCUCCACUUCAAGCCCAGCCUUCCUUUUCUCUCGCUGCUGAACAACCAAAGCCGGUGAUUGGCUCCUCCCGCCUCGAAGUUCAAGAUCCUCCCGCUUCUCCUACAACUGGGAUGAGGAACAUUUGUAUGGCCAAGAGGUGACCGACUCUAGAAAGACGAAGGUAGUUUACGGAAGUUGUGCAAUGCAUCACUUCCGGGUACGCCCCGUUGGCUUCCAAGGUCUUCCGUGGGAAUUUACUGCGUCUGCGCCCAGCGGCUCCCUGCCAGAGAGUUAUUUCCCUAGUUAUUUCUUUAGAUGGUGAGACCAAGUUUAAGAUUUCAUUAAAAGAAAUUCCUGAAGAAGCAAAAUUGCACAUGACUUCAUGAGGGGGAUUCUAGAAGGGAACAGUAACCAGGAACUUGAGUUUGGAAGACCUCUAAAAAAUAUAGAAGUUUAAAAAUUCAAGAAGGAAAACUUACAAGGGAAAAAACUGAAGAGAGAAAAAGAAAAGAGACUGAAUGCAAAUGAUAACCAAGGACAAGCAAAUUCCUUCAGGAGAGAAAACAGAAAUAUAAAAAAUUUAUUUCAUUUCAAAGAAUCCAUAUCAAGAUGAACCAGAAGAAAAACUCAAAUCAGAAAAAUUUGCAAGAAAAAGCAGCACACACACUAUAACCUGAUUCUGUAGUCUUUUGCUUUAAGGGUCCAGUUUCAAAAAAAGGUGGCAGAUUAGAGAGGCAGUGGAAGAACCCAAAAAAAGAGAUAAUGAAGAGAGAAAGGAGAGAUUUUAGGCAAGUGAGAAUCAAAGGCAAGAAAACCUCUGCCAAAGAAAGAAGCCAGAAAUGUAAGCAGUCUGAAAAAAACUUUUGUCAGAGUUCUCAUUUCAUUUCACAACAAAAAAUCCACAUUGCAGAGAGACCCUAUGCUUGUAAAGAGUGUGGAAAAACCUUUCGCCAGAGUGCAGACCUUACUGUACAUCAAAGAAUCCAUACUGGGGAGAAACCUUUUAUUUGUAAUGAGUGUGGGAAAGGCUUUAGUCAGAGAUCCCACCUUAUUCGGCAUCAGAGAAUCCAUACUGGGGAGAAGCCCUAUGAAUGUAAUGAGUGUGGAAAAACCUUUAGUCAGAGCUCAAAUCUGACUGUGCAUCAGGGAAUUCACACUGGAGAGAAAUCCUAUGAAUGUGAUGAAUGUGGGAAAGCUUUCCAUCGAAGUUCAGGUCUUACUGUCCAUCAGAGAAUCCACACAGGGGAGAAACCAUAUGAGUGUAAUGAGUGUGGGAAGGCCUUCAGUUGCAGCUCAUACCUUAUUGUUCAUCAGAGAAUACAUACUGGGGAGAAACCUUAUCAAUGCAAUGUAUGUGGGAAAGCCUUUAGUCAGAAUUCACAUCUAAUUCUCCAUCAGUCAACUCAUUCCCGAAAGAAACACCAGAUUCCUCCAUUGGUUAGAGCCCAAUGUUAAUGGAAUCAGGGAUUCAUAUUGAUUCCUUGGUUCUGCAACCAUAUCCUGUACUCAGAUUAGCCAUUUCACAAAUGUCUACUUUGCUCAAAACAGAAACUCAAGCGAGAAAUUGCAGACAGCUCCCAGCAACUGUUUUGUAUGAUUACAAAGGGAUAGUAUAUUUCCACUUGUAUAUUGGUUUGUGACUGCAUUUCAGUUCUUUUCACACGGGAGUUGUUAGAUUUUUAACCACUGAGGCCAGCCACUCAAUAUUAUCUCUGGUUUUGAAAAUAAAACACCACCAUAACUUAGUAUAUGUGGCGAGUAAUUAUUACUUCAUAAGCAGAUAAAUUUUUUGUCUCAUCAAAUGUAAAGCCUUGAUUCAGUCUGAUAUGGGGAGGGGAGUGCUGAAUCAAGCAAUAAAAUCUAAGUUAAAUCCUUUUCAGACUGGGCUGGAAAUAUAUUCCUAUUGAUGAUUUGUGUCUAAAGAGAUAUACCAUAAAAAAAUGUGAAACUGAUCCAUGAAUCUGUGAUUGUCUUCCAUGGGGUUGAAUGUGCAGAGUAAGCCAUCAAGGGAGGGUAACUUGGAGGAUUAAAAAUCUAAAACUAUCACCAAACUCAAUCAUACCCCAUUCCAAGAAUUCAUUUUUUUUAUUAGAGCUAAAAGGACAUUUAUAGACCCAGCUCUCACUUGUGGCUCCCAGUAGCUGCUAGCAUGCGGCAGCAGCCACACCCCAGGCAACGGCUUCGACAGGCCAGCCAAACCUUGUGAGAGUAGCCAUCAGGUAGUUGUGGACCCCUGGUGAACCAGGGCUUUGCUCACCCAGCAUGUGAAGACUGCUUCCGCUGAACAGAUGGAAGAAACCAAUAAGAAGGUUCAACGGCUGAGAUGGCAACACAGCAAGGCACUGUGGAGUGCUUAGGGCAUGUUGGAGCACAGAGGACAACACGGCCAUCCAAUGCAGCUGAGCAAGUCUCCAGGUGUAACAACUUUUCAUGCCACUGGACCCAGGCUUCCAACGCCGAGAGAGUGGGACUGUCUCUGUGCAACGACUUUUCCACUUAAAUCUCCUUCACGCACAAGUGUCUUUGUGCACACUCAUCUACAUCACAGAUGAAAAUGCACAAAGACAAUUGUCAUCCUCAGUUACCGAGAGACUACUACCACUACCCUUCAUUUUAUAGAUGAAGGAAACUAAGGUGCAAUGAGAGGAAUGGUUUGCCCAAGGCCACAUAUUUGAUAAAGAGCAAAGCCAGGAUUUCAGUGUGAGUCUCCUGACAAAAUUCAGUGCUGUCAUAGUCACAGUAGGUUUACACCUAGUCCUUUUCACCUGUGUAGUUGCUUUUCUGAAAAACCAAUCUCCUUACCCUGUUUUUGCUGCCAUCUACCCAGUCUCAAGUUUAAUAUUACUUUGGACACAUUUCUUACCGAUUUUGUGCCAUCAGUCACCACAUCUUCAUUGUUCUUGAAUUACUGUGAUACCUGUCAUGUAUACCUUGGCCCUAGCCACAGCACUUAACCUGUUUGCCUCAGUUUCCUUGACUAUAAAAUGGGGAUAAUAAUAGCACCUUCUUCCUAGGAUUGCCACAAAGACCAAAUGAGAUAUUUGUAAAGUGCUUGUGCAUAGUGGCACAUAGGAGGCACUAUAUAAACAUCAGCUAUUAUUUUUAUGUGGAGGGUUUGAGAAAUUGUGAGCAUUAGGGACUGGAAUGAAGCUAAUGGUCUUAGAGUAAUAGGAAAGUUUGGGAGACAGCAGUGUAACAGUUAAAAUUUAGGAAUAUGGGGAGACUGAGGCGGGUAGAAAUUAGUUUCUCUCUGCAAGGAGUAUUAUAUUUUUUUAGAGGUUUAUUAAAGGUUAAAGAUUAAAGAAAAUACAGAAUAAGAAAAAACACGUGCCUAGGCCAGAUAACCUCACAUCACAGAAGAGAUACAUCUGCUCCAAAACGGAAGUCCAAAAGAGAGGACCCAAAAACCUUUGCCACCAGCUUAAAUCCUUCCUCGAUCUCUGCCCACCUCAGAAUUCCCGUGAGAUUACAAAGCAUUUUGGGGAAGUGGAGCAAAGGCUUGUGGGGUUUGUAGUGAUGUAUUCGAGUCUAUUUUUUACAUGCCCCCCAUUGGAUCGUUGGGGAGCAAAGUUUCCCCAAAAAGGAUCAUGAGAACAUAAUCAACUUAAACAUUACAAUAAUUUGAGGAUAAGAGAAAGAAAAAAAAUUAAACCAAUAAUUGCUGAAACGCAUUGACAAAAAGCCAGUUAGGGGGCAGUCCCCUUUGGCUUGAAAGUAUACAUACAAAUAAAUGUUCAAUCAACCACACCCAAAGUUCAAUUUUGUGCAACUUGUGGUCUGGAGGCUUCUUCAUGGUGGCUUCUCCAACAGUUCAGUUCUGGAUUCAGAGAGGUAGCAUCUUCUUUACCUAAAAUUCUUCUCAAAAGGAAUUUAAACUUUGCAAUUUAAAUAAUAAUAAUAUAUAUAUAUAUUUUUUUACAGCAGGGUCCAGUGAACCAGCAUUAAUUUUUUUUAAACCCUUACCCUGUGUCUGGAUACUAAGUAUCCAUUCUAAUGCAGAAGAGCUUUAAGGGCUAGGCUGUUGGAAUUAAGUGACUAGGCUAGGGUCACACAGCCAAAAAUACCUGAGCUCAAAUUUGAACCUAGGCCCUCCUGCCUCCAGACCUAUCCACUCUAUCCACUGAGACUGCCCCACAACAAGCAUUUAAGCAUCUGCUAAAUGCCAGGCACUAUUGCUAAGCAUUGAGGAAACAAAGGCAAAAAUACUCUGCUCCCACAGAAUUUACAAUUCAAUGAGGAAGACAAACUAUACUUAAAAUAUACAGAGGAUCAAAUGGAGAACUUCAGGGAAGGGAAGGCAGGAACAUUAAGGAGGACUGUGAAAGGCUUCUUGUAGAAAGUGGGAUUUUAGUUGAAUUUUGAAGGGAGUCAAGAGACAGAGAUGAGAAGAGAGAUUUUACACAUGAAGACCACCAAUGAAAAUGCCUAGAGUUGGGGAGAGGGAGUGCUUGCUUAAGGAACAGAAAGGAGGCCAGUAUCAUGGACUUUACCUUUGGGAAAUAAAGUGUAAGAAGCCUGGAAAAGUAGGAAGGACCCAGAUUAUGAAGAUCUUUGCCAGAUUGUUUUUUCAUUUGAUUCUAGAGCUGAUAGGGAGCCAUAGACAUUUAUUGAGUAGGGGAAUGUCAUGAUUUAGAUCAGUCUGACAGCUGAGUGGAGAUUGAACUACAGUGAAGAGAAACUUUAAGGCAACCAACCAACAGGCUCUUGCAGGGGGCAGGUUUGAGAUGAUGAGACCCUGCACCAAGGUGGUGGCUGUGUCAGAAGAAAAGAGUAUCUGCUAGAGAUAUAAAAGUAAAACUGUCAGAUUCCAGUAACAAAUUGGAUAUGGGGAGGAGAGAGAAGUAGAAAUUGAGGAUAACACCUAGGUUGCAAACCUGGGAUAUUGGGAGGAUAGUGAUGUCCUUGACAGGGAUAGGAAAGUUUAGGAGGGUUUGGGGGAAGAAACAGAUGAGUUCAGUUUUAGAUAUGUUCAGUUCAAGAUGUCUAAUAGGCAGCUAGAGAUGCAAUCUGCUUCUAUUCCCCCUGAACUUCUUUUCCUCAUCCAUAGCCUAAUCAUAGGUUCUCAUCUUCUAAAUGACUCAUUUUUUAAAAAAAAUGUAUUUUUCCCCUAAUUACAUGGAAAAUAUUUCCAACAUUUUAAAAAUAAUUUUGAGUCUCGAAUUCUCUUCCUCCCUCUACCCCCAUCCCUAUUCCUCUGCUGAUAUGGUAAGUAAACUCACAUAGAUUUUACAUGUAUAAUCAUGUAAAACAUUUUCCCAUAUUGACCCUUUUGUGGAAGGAAACUUGAAAAAAAUUAAGAAAGUGAAAAAAGCUUGCUUUUUGUCUGGAUUCAAGCUAUCAGUUCUUUCUCUAGAAGCAGAUAGCUUUUUUUUUUUUGGUAUCGUGAGUCCUUUAGAAUUAUUUUGGAUCAUUUUAUUACCGAGAAUAGUUUAGUAAUUCACAGUUGUUCAUUGAACAGUAUUCCUGUCACUGUCAAUGUUCUGGUUCUGCUUCAGUUCAAGUAACUCUUUCCAGGUUUUUCUGAGUUUCUCCUCAUCAUUUUUCUUAUAGCACAAUAGAAUUCCAUUACAAUAAUAUACCAUAGCUUACUCAGUCAGUUCCCAAUUCAUGGGUAUCCUCUCAUUUUACAGUUUGUUACCUCCACAAAAAGCUGUUCUAAAUUUUGUUUUUGUUUUUCAUCUCUUUGGGAUACAAACCUCGUAAUGGUAUUAUUGGGUCAAAUAGUAUUAUGUAUUGCUUUAUAACCAUUUGGUAUAGGACCAAAUUGCUCUCCAGGAUGUUUGAAUCAGUUCACAACUAACUCCCUCAACAGUAUAUUAGUCUCUCAAUUUUCCCACAACCUCUCCAAGUUUUGUGAUUUUCCCUUUUUUCUGUCUUUUUUGUCAUAAUUUUUCUGUCUUUUCUGUCAUAAUUAGCAAUCUGGCAGGUAUGUGGUGAUACCUCAGAGUUGUUUUAAUUUUCAUUUCUUUGACUAAAAAUGAUUUAGUCCAUCUUUUGCAUGACAGUAGAGAGCGUUUUUAAGAAAUGUCUGUUCACUUACUUUGACCAUUAAAUCCCUCAUCCUCAAUUCAGCUUCCCUGGUUAAUUUUUUGUUUUGUUUUGUUUUUUGCUUCAAAGUAAUCUCAUUUAAAUUACCCUCUCUUGUUCUUCCCUGGCACUUCUCUCAAUCCUGUCCUGUUUUUCAGCUGAAUGAAUUUAUUCCUCUACCCAACUUUGUGUGUGUGUGUGUGUGUGUGUGUGUGUGUGUGCACGCGCACGUGCAUGUGCUUUCCUCUUUUGACAGGCUCAGAUUAGAAAGAAGCUCAGAUGUUAUUUCUUCACUGACUCCUCUUUAUUUGUAUAAUCUAUUUGCGCAGUCCAAUUAUGUAAGGUAAUUUCCACCAACUUUUCUUCUCUCUUCCCCCUUCUGCUACACACAUAUUUUCUUUCACCAUCUCUUUUCUUUUAAGAUUAUCAAUACAUUAAAAAAUCACCUGAAGUCCUCUAUAUUUUUAAACUUCCUCUAUAUCACUGCUGAUAUGAUUCUGAGAGGACACAAAUAUCUUUGCAUAUUCGAAUGUAAGCAGUUUGUCCUUAUUUAGCCUCUAUAUAAUCACUAUCUAUUUUUUAAAAAAUCCUUACCUUCUGUCUUAGAAUCAAAUCUGUAUUGGUUGCAAGACAGAAGGGUGGUAAGGGCUAGGCAAUGUGGGUUAAGUGACUUACCCAGGAUCACAUUGCUUGGAAGUGGCUGAAUUCAAAUUUGAACCUAGGACCCCAUAACUCCUCCAAUCACUCAUUUAAAAAUUAUUUUAAAAUACCUUGACUACUGCUUUUUACAUGUCAAACUUUAAACGUAACUGUUCUCAUAAGGAAUGCUUGGAAGUUUUCUAUAGCAUUCAAGAUGCAUUUUAGAGUUGUAGAAAUAUACUAAAUUCUGCCAAAUAAGUUAUUCUUGAUUGUAAACCUAUAUCUUUUGCUUUCUCGAUAUUGUAAUCUACACUCUUACUUCUUUAUUAUGGUGACUGCUAAAUCUUAUGUAAGUAUGACUGUAGCAUCCUGGUAUUUGAAUUCUUUUGACUGUUAGUGGUACUUUUUGUUUAACCUGGAAGUUCUGGAUUUGGGCCAUAAUAUUCCCAAGAGUUUUUAUUUGAGGAAUAUUUUAUUACUUCUUGUUCUCAGGGAGUCAUUAAAAAUUAUUUGGUCUAUUCUAAUUUAGGAGAAAUCUGUUGCUUGGAUAGUUUUAUAUCUCUUGUGUCAAAUGUUAAUAGGGAUAAUAUGAGGAUUGGGUUCAGUUACUUAUAAAUACAUUUGGCUAUGAUCAAACAAAAUUUAUCCCUGGUAAUCAAAUCUGCUGGUGAUGAACCUCUUCCUUGCCUUUACAUUUGGGUUGAAUGGAGUGUGCACACUGAUAGAGUCUAGAAGCCUUAAAAAUAAGUUUCUUAAUUAGUGGUUUGUUUUUAAUUAAAGCUAGUUAAUUACAUGUUAUAACAAAUUUCCACGCAAGUUUUCCUAAGUUAUAUGAUUGAACUUAUCUUCCUCCCUUCCCUUCCUUUCCCUUCCCACUCCUAGUGCUAUUAAUCAGUGGUUUAACCAGGCACCAAACAACUGUGAAAGAGAAUUUUUUACUCUAUUGUCUAUCCUGAGUUAACACAAAUUUAAGUACCCCUACUUACUAAGGUACUACCUCACUAGACUGAAGACAGGAUUAACUCCCCCUUAUCUACUUUUGAAUUGAAUCAACAAAAGAUUAAAUACCCUACUUAGUACUAGGUUAGAAACUAGCAAGGUACUUAGAGAAUUCACAUCCUUAGAAAUUCAAUCAGCCUUGAAUCUGUGAAUCUUUUUGAUGAGAACUUAACCUUCAGAAGGUGAGAAGUCAAUCCUUACAGACACUGCUUCCUGGGCAGUGAUAGAUAAUUUGGAAACUGUGAAGAGGAGAGGGAACAAGAAGUCAUCAUAAAAAGCAAGCCCCAAACUCCUUCAGGGCAGAUUGUCUUUGAGAAGAUAGUCUGAAGGUAUUGUCUUCUGGAGGUAGUCUUCUGGAGACUGUGGCUUGGAUUGUGGGCUUGGAGCUAGGCUUCAACUUGGACUCUGACUCCUAGACUGCUUCAUUGGGUGAGUGAAAGGCUGACUCCUUUCCUAGUUUCUGAAGAGACUAACUUCAAUGUUGGAGGAGGCAAUGUGGUUACUCACUACCAGCCUUCCUGGUUGAGAGCUAAUUGAUCUCUUCUUGGAUUAAGCAAAACUGGAGUAACACAUUUAGGUUGACAGGAUAGAUAACCUCUCUAACCCCCUCACAUUUCUCUUGUUUCUUCUCUAUUUGUAUAUAUUUGUAAAUAAAUUUUUGACUCGA
Non-coding RNA from Monodelphis domestica (gray short-tailed opossum), 8561 nucleotides. Lineage: Eukaryota; Metazoa; Chordata; Mammalia; Didelphimorphia; Didelphidae. The record is from RefSeq and is a predicted model, not a curated record.